Molecule: ribosomal RNA, 200 nt
Filed under: uncultured bacterium
Lineage: Bacteria
Description: partial 16S ribosomal RNA
Rfam family: Bacterial small subunit ribosomal RNA
Source: RNAcentral
GAUGAACGCUAGCGGCAGGCUUAACACAUGCAAGUCGAGGGGUAGAAGUCUUCGGACUUUGAGACCGGCGCACGGGUGCGUAACGCGUAUGCAAUCUGCCUUUUACAGAGGGAUAGCCCAGAGAAAUUUGGAUUAAUACCUCAUAGUAUUACGACUCGGCAUCGAGAUGUAAUUAAAGUCACAACGGUAAAAGAUGAGCA